UACGUAGGGUGCGAGCGUUGUCCGGAAUUAUUGGGCGUAAAGAGCUCGUAGGCGGCUUGUCGCGUCGACUGUGAAAACCCGCGGCUCAACUGUGGGCUUGCAGUCGAUACGGGCAGGCUGGAGUUCGGUAGGGGAGACUGGAAUUCCUGGUGUAGCGGUGAAAUGCGCAGAUAUCAGGAAGAACACCAAUGGCGAAAGCAGCUCUCUGGGACGGUACUGACGCUGAGACGCGAAAGCGUGGGGAGCGAACAGG
This 253-nucleotide ribosomal RNA is filed under the name uncultured bacterium. RNAcentral describes it as "partial 16S ribosomal RNA". It matches the Rfam family "Bacterial small subunit ribosomal RNA", at positions 524 to 776 of the family's 1533-position model. The record is from RNAcentral.